GUCGGUGAGGUAACCUUUUAGGAGCCAGCCGCCGAAGGUGGGACAGAUGAUUGGGGUGAAGUCGUAACAAGGUAGCCGUAUCGGAAGGUGCGGCUGGAUCACCUCCUUUCUAAGGA
RNAcentral lists this ribosomal RNA (116 nucleotides) under Bacillus velezensis. RNAcentral describes it as "partial 16S ribosomal RNA". It matches the Rfam family "Bacterial small subunit ribosomal RNA", at positions 1426 to 1533 of the family's 1533-position model. The record is from RNAcentral. Lineage: Bacteria; Bacillati; Bacillota; Bacilli; Caryophanales; Bacillaceae.